Molecule: ribosomal RNA, 468 nt
Filed under: uncultured bacterium
Lineage: Bacteria
Description: partial 16S ribosomal RNA
Rfam family: Bacterial small subunit ribosomal RNA
Source: RNAcentral
GACGAACGCUGGCGGCGUGCUUAACACAUGCAAGUCGAACGGAAAGGCCCUGCUUUUGUGGGGUGCUCGAGUGGCGAACGGGUGAGUAACACGUGAGUAACCUGCCCUUGACUUUGGGAUAACUUCAGGAAACUCGGGCUAAUACCGGAUAGGAGCUCCUGCUGCAUGGUGGGGGUUGGAAAGUUUCGGCGGUUGGGGAUGGACUCGCGGCUUAUCAGCUUGUUGGUGAGGUAGUGGCUUACCAAGGCUUUGACGGGUAGCCGGCCUGGGAGGGUGACCGGCGUCAUUAGGACUGAGAUAGGGAGCAGACGGCAACGGGCGGCAGUAGGGGGGAAUAUUGCGGAAUGGGCGGAAGCCUGAUGCAGCAGCGCCGCGUGCGGAAUGCCGGCCUUCGGGUUGUAAACCGAUUUCGCCGGUGACGAAGAGUGAGUGACGGUAAUUGGUAAAGAAGCACCGGCUAACUACGUG